This 3410-nucleotide unclassified non-coding RNA is filed under the name Amphibalanus amphitrite. Its description in RNAcentral is "pH and SEC7 domain-containing protein-like, transcript variant X1". The record is from RNAcentral. Lineage: Eukaryota; Metazoa; Arthropoda; Thecostraca; Balanomorpha; Balanidae.
GUGCUCGUGAUGGCGGGCGAGGUGCGGUCCGUGGUGCUCAAAAGGGGUCCGGAGGGCGGAUUCGGGUUCUCCAUCCUCGGCGGUUCUGGCUCCGAGCUGCCCCCGAUCGUGUAUGAUAUCGUAGCGGGCUCGCCAGCCUCCAAUAGUGGCCAGCUGGAGGCGGGCGAUGUGAUUCUGGAGGUGAAUGACCAGGAGGUCAGUGACCUCACCACCAAAGAAGUGCUGAAAUGUCUGCGGCUCUCGGAGCAGUCGGUCUCGCUCAAACUGCGGAAAGAUGACGCGGUCCGGCAGCGGGUCCGCCAGUACCUGCAGUCGCCGCAGACCCUGGAGCAGCUGCGGCCGGCCAUCACCCAGCGCGACCUGGCGCACGUCCGAGAGGUGGUGGCCAUGAAGGGCUCGUCGCGCCGCGCGCCGGCCGCCGUGCCGCGCGUGCCGCUGGUACACAGCCCGCCCAAGGGGCGCGCCAAGCCGCUGCCGCCGCCGUCCGAGGCGCGCCGCCAGACGGACGGCGCGGCGCACACCAACGGGCACGGCGGCGCGCCGCCGGCGCCGGCCGACGGACGGCCGCGCUUCGAGGCGUUCACCAUGACCGGCGAGCUGAUGCUGAAUCUGUCGCGUCUGCCGGCCGACGAGCUGCCGCCGCCGGGCCCGCCGCCGGCCGCCGGCGGCGGCUCGGCGCCCACCAGUCCGCCAGCGGCUCCGUCCGGCGGCGGCGGCGGCCUGUUCCGCGGCUCCCGCUCCGAGGACCGGCUCCUGUCUCCGCCGGCGGAGGCGGACUCCGCAGCGGAGCGGGCCGGAUCCGUGGACCCACUGCCCGACACCGACACGGCGCGGGGCAACGGACCGAGUCCGGCACAGCGAAUACUCGAACAGGACAACGACCGGGGGGACGAACAGGGCAACGGCCGGGGGAGCGACCGGGGUAACGACCUGGGGAGCGACCAGGGUAACGACCGGGGGAGCGACCAGGGUAACGACCUGGGUAACGACCAGGGUAACGCACAGAGCAGCGGCCGCAGUGGGACGGCGAGCGGCCGGAGCGGCGAGCGGACAGACGCCACCGACACCGGCCGGCCGUGUGGUGAGAGCCGGCUGAACGGAGAGAGUACCGAGCAGAGCGGAGCACACGACGCCGGCCCCGGCAGUCCCGACUCGGACGACGGCUCCGACUCGGAGAGCCAGCGCAGCCUGCCGCCGCCCUGCCCCAGGGCCGUGGAUGGGCCGUCGGCCGGCCGGCUCGCCAAGCGGCUCUACAUGCUGGAGGGCUUCCGGCGCUCCGACGUCUCCAGGCACCUCGGCAAAAAUAACGAGUUCAGCCGGGCGGUGGCCGAGGAGUACGUCAAACACUUUGACUUCAGCGGCUGCUCGCUGGACGCGGCUCUCAGCCAGUUCCUGGAGCGGUUCUCGCUGACCGGGGAGACCCAGGAGCGCGAGCGGGUGCUGGUGCACUUCAGCCGCCGCUACAUGGACGGCAACCCGGCCGCCUUCAACUCCGUCGACGCGUGCCACACCCUGACCUGCGCGCUGAUGCUGCUCAACACCGACCUGCACGUGCAGCACGUGCCGCGCAAAAUGACCUGCGCAGAGUUCGUCGACAACCUGUCGGAGCUGAACGACGGCCGGGACUUCCCCGAGGAGACGCUGCGGCGGCUGUACCAGGCCAUCCGGGCGCGGCCCAUACACUACGCCGCCGAUGACGAGUACGAGGAGAUGGAGGCGGCUCCGGCGACCGGCCUGUCACCUGGCGGCGGCGUGACGAACCCGUUCCUGGCGGCGCCUGAUCCCGAUAAGGCCACAGAGUACAAGCGCGGCUACAUGAUGCGGAAGUGCUGUCUGGACGCCGGCGGGAAGCGCACGGCGCUGGGCCGGCGCUCGUGGCAGAUGUUCCACUGCACGCUCCGCGACCUGGUGCUGUACCUGCACAAAGACGAGAGCGGCUCGCGGCGGGCGGCUGCCUUCGAGCACCUGCACAACGCCAUCAGGGUGCACCACGCGCUGGCCUCCAAGGCUGAGGACUACGUGAAGAAGCAGCACGUGUUUAAACUGCAGACGGCUGAUCAGGCCGAGUAUCUGCUCCAGACCAGUGACGCCAAGGAGCUGCAGUCGUGGGUGGACACGGUGAAUUUCGUGGCGGCCAGUCUCUCCUCGCCGCCUCUGCCGGGCGCCGUGGGCAGUCAGAGACGCUUCCAGCGACCGCUGCUGCCGUCCGGAGUCACCUCCCGCAGCCUGCACGACCAGCUGCUGGGCCACGAGGACCGGCUGGCGGAGAUCGAGUCCGAGCUGUCGGAGCUGGACGCCGCCACCGACCCGGAGGGCAGGCCCAGCCACCACCAGCGGCAGUACCAGCGGCACAAGGCCGCCUUCCUGCAGACAGAGGCGGUGCGGUACCGCACCUACUGCCAGCUGCUGCGCUCCAAAAUGGCCGCCGAGCCGCCGCCGCCAGCGCCCCUGGCGGCCGCCGCCGCAGUCUCGCCUACCGCAGCAGCCGACAGAGGGCGGCCCGGGCGGACGGCCGACAGCGCUGUCUCCGCGGAGGAGGAGCCCUCGGCCGCCGCCGGCUCUGGCGCCACCAAGGAGCACCUGCUGUCGGCUAAGAAGCAGCGGCGCCCCACCCCGGACCAGGCGCAGACGGGGCAGACAGUGGCGGACAGCGCCGCGGGAGCAGACGGCAGCGUGCCGCCGCCGGACGGGGAGGGUGCGGCCGCAGCUGAGCGGCCGGCCACCGGUACAGCCGCCCAGGGUACUCCUGCCACCGGUACAGCCGCCCAGGGUACUCCGGCCACCGGUACAGCCGCCCAGGGUACUCCGGCCACCGGUACAGCCGCCCAGGGCACUCCGGCAGGCGCCUCAGCCGCCGCAGACGGUGAAGUCACCGCCAAGAAGAAGCGCCGCUGGUGGCAGAAAUGAGCCGCUCCGUUAGAGGCCAAACGGCGCGGCUGGAGGCCCGCUCCGGUAGAGGCCGAACGGCCGCGGACCGGACCGGACUUUGUUAGAGGCCGAGCCGCGGACCGGGCCGCUGUCUGCGCCUGUGUGCCCCCGCUGGCCUGUCUGGGCCGGUGUGUGUGUGUCUGUCUGCUCCCCAGUCCGUCUGUUUCUGUGUUACCAGCCGGCGGAGGUGUGUGUUCGCCGCGGCCCGCAGUAACACGGUGUGCUCCCCGCGCUAACCCCGGCUGUGCCCCCCGGCCGGUUAGGCCGCCAUUAGUCGGCGCGUCUGCCCCCGCCCGGAGAGUUGAGUCACGGCGCCGCCUGUGUGAUUUCAGUGCCACUGGCUCUGCCGGAUAUUGCGCCGUUAGAUGUGUUGGAUAUGACGUGAGUAGGUACUGGUAGGCGCCGCCGUGUCAGUGGCCGUGUGUCUGUGUGUCUGUGUGCUGAAUGUAGGUACAGAGCUACAAUACAAAAACCGGCGGAAA